This 74-nucleotide microRNA precursor is filed under the name Medicago truncatula (barrel medic). RNAcentral's name for it is "MIR5272 microRNA precursor family". It matches the Rfam family "MIR5272 microRNA precursor family". The record is from Rfam by way of RNAcentral. Lineage: Eukaryota; Viridiplantae; Streptophyta; Magnoliopsida; Fabales; Fabaceae.
UUUAAUAUGAAUUGAUUUAUGUUUGGAUACCUUCACUUAAAAAUGAUUCUUAUGAGUUUGUGUUGUUUGGAUAG